Gossypium arboreum is the source of this 497-nucleotide long non-coding RNA. RefSeq lists it as uncharacterized. The transcript is spliced from 3 exons. Lineage: Eukaryota; Viridiplantae; Streptophyta; Magnoliopsida; Malvales; Malvaceae. The record is from RefSeq and is a predicted model, not a curated record.
GCUGGUUCCGUUUGUUUCCAAUGAAACUAGACUCAAAAUGGAAUCUGUACAUAUAAGGGUCUAUUUUGGGUUGUCACAGGGAGAGCCAUCUCAAACAACUCUGGGAGGGAAAACAGGAUUUAGUAAAUUUGAAGGUGAUCAAUCUCUCCUUUUCUCGCAACCUUGUAAGAAUCCAGGACCUCUCAAGUGCCACAAAUCUUGAAAUUAUAGAACUUAUGGGGUGUUCUAACUUGCGUGAGCUUCCUUCAUCCCUUCAACAUCUGGAGAAGUGUUCUAACUUGCGUGAGCUUCCUUCAUCCCUUCAACAUCUGGAGAAGCUAACUUAUUUGAAUUUCUAUUUGUGUCAAAAUCUUAGAUCUCUGCCUAGCUUUUAUAAAGCCACAUCCCUAACCAAACUUGAACUUAGUGACUGCUCAAAUCUGUGUAGUUUUCCAGAAAUCUUGGACACUAUGGAAAGGUUGAGGAAUCUUGAUUUAAAUGGAACGGCUUUGAAGAAA